GACGAACGCUGGCGGCGUGCCUAAUACAUGCAAGUUGAGCGCUGAAGGUUGGUACUUGUCCCCACUGGAUGAGCAGCCAACGGGUGAGUAACGCGUGGGGAAUCUGCCUUUGAGCGGGGGACAACAUUUGGAAACGAAUGCUAAUACCGCAUAAAAACUUUAAACACAAGUUUUAAGUUUGAAAGAUGCAAUUGCAUCACUCAAAGAUGAUCCUGCGUUGUAUUAGCUAGUUGGUGAGGUAAAGGCUCACCAAGGCGAUGAUACAUAGCCGACCUGAGAGGGUGAACGGCCACAAUGGGACUGAGACAAGGACCAAACUACUACGGGGAGCAGCAGUAGGGAAUCUUCGGAAAUGGACGAAAGUCUGACCGAGCAACGCCGCGUGGGUGAAGAAGGUUUUCGGAUCGUAAAACUCUGUUGGUAGAGAAGAACGUUGGUGAGGGUGGAAAGCGCAUCAAGUGACGGUAACUACCCAGAAAGGAACGGAUAACUACGUG
RNAcentral lists this ribosomal RNA (497 nucleotides) under uncultured bacterium. RNAcentral's name for it is "partial 16S ribosomal RNA". It matches the Rfam family "Bacterial small subunit ribosomal RNA", at positions 28 to 507 of the family's 1533-position model. The record is from RNAcentral.